CACAAGAAAAUAUUAUUGCUACUUUGGCAGUACCUUUUGACCGCGAAAAAUUUCCAAAAAAAAACCUGCAAUGUCCCGCUUUCAAUCCACCUAUUCAUCAGAUUUCAUUUCCCCGGACUGCACUGAGGAUGAUGCUCCGUCGGUAAGUCACCCCGAGAAUCAUUGCCGGAAAUGUGCCCGCCCCUGCCAGUGCAUGCGUAUUGUGGCUGCAGGACCUAGUUCUGGAGGGUCCAGACGGUCAUCUUGCGCUAGUACCACUUCUUGUGUCAGAUCGAUUCAGCAAAUCGACUUUACCGCCGUACCAACGGUUAAAGGUUGCCGCUGCAACUGUCAGUGCUGUGUAACCAUGAAGCCGGAACGUCAACCCGAGUGCAAACCUGUUCCAGCUUGCCCUCCGCCUUCAAAUUUACGCCCAGUAGUUUGCGUAGAGAAAUGUUGUGUUAAAAAACCUAAAGGUGAUCCCUGUUGUGCGCUGCAUCGAAUCCGAACAGCUCAAGCCAUCGCACAAAAUCCGGACUGUUAUCUACCGGUUUCUCACUGCAAACCAAGACCCUGUCCGGUACCUCUGGAGGACUGCAACAGUUGCCUAAUGCGGAACGAUGAUCCUCAAUUGCGGCAUACCAGAAUCCAGCGAGACACUCCGGAAAUCGCACCAGGAGGAUGUGAUGAUGAAGGAGGGGCUUGUUCCCGAAACUCCAGUAGGCUACGCUUUGAUAUGCAUGUCAGUAGCAAUCGAAAUUAAAAGUCUGUCAAGAGAAUUUUUUUCUGUAAACCCAAAAAAUGUACACGAAAAAGUUAAAUAAAAAUGAUAUGUGUAAUACGACCUACAUGAAGUCCUACCAUGGAUACAACCCGUGUUACUGUGGUCCAGUCAGUGUUACGAAACCAAUAAUCUCGGAACAUCGUCGCCGUUACCACCAGCAAAUGGAGACCACCUUCGCGACGGUUCAUGCCGUGUUUGUUAACCGCACCUGUCCGAAACCGAUGGAUCUCUGCUGCCCCAGUACGGAGUAUGGCGAGGGAGUCUGCCUGUCAGGCGAGGCCAUUACCCAGAACUGCGAAACAUCAUGCUACACCUAUUGUUACUGAACGAGAGUUACCAAAUUGUUCGUACAAUAAAUGCCAAUUUGUGAACUUUCCCAAUUUUUCACUAGCUUAAUCACCUUCCGCUGAAUGAAACCGAUCAUUAAAGGCCAAUCGUAAUCGGACACAAAAUCAAUUAAUUAUAUACGCCCCUAACCGCGUUCGAAUCGCUGGGUGAGAGAGAAGCAUCCAUUUUGAAGGGAAGAAACGGCAGCAAAUUUUCGGAUUGAAUUGGUCGCAUCUAAUUGUUGCUAUCUUUGCUGGUACCGUCCACACGGUUUGCUGGUGCCUACAGUGCGUGGAAGUCCCACCACCAGAAGGACCGAUCGAAUCCGAUCGAGAGGGGGCGAGAAGUGAUAGAGCGUUUGCUUUGUUCGAUCGACAACGGUGUACCUACGGCGUUGGGAGCGGAGAAAACUGGCGUGGAAGAAUUUGGUGAUGAGUCGAUCUUCUGCGUUCCAUUUCACUCUGGAUAAUGUAAAGCAACCGGAACCGAUCGAGUGGGGAUGUUAAUCAAAUAUUUAAGUAAGCUUUCUAGUAAAACUGCCUCAAUUGGAGACUAUUGUCACGGUCACGGAUGAUUACGAUGGGAACUAAGCUAGCGGAUCUUAAUGCUUUGAUCAAAUCAGGUGUAACUGAAGCUAAAAUUAGCUCAAUGACAAACAAAGAUCGUUGCAGUUUCCUACGGCGCUCCAGAGUAUCUAAGCCUAGUCGGCAACUAUCAGGAUACGAAGCCAAGUUAUCGGGGUUUCUCCAGGGUUCCACGUGACCUGCUAGGGGCUACAUACAAUGGCAGAAGCAGUCAACGCUACUUCGCAAAUCGAUGCUGAUCGACUAUUUCCGAUUUCACUGAAACUUUGCACGGUAGUCUCUUUUUGAUAAAGAAGU
Molecule: long non-coding RNA, 1971 nt
Organism: Wyeomyia smithii (pitcher-plant mosquito)
Lineage: Eukaryota; Metazoa; Arthropoda; Insecta; Diptera; Culicidae
Exons: 4
Source: RefSeq, a predicted model, not a curated record